Non-coding RNA from Pelobates cultripes (western spadefoot toad), 245 nucleotides. The record is from the annotation of a GenBank genome assembly. Lineage: Eukaryota; Metazoa; Chordata; Amphibia; Anura; Pelobatidae.
CUCACAGCUCAGGGGUGGGGGCCGGGGGGGACAAUCCCCAUUUUUGUGAUUCUUCUAUGAGGAUUGUGGGUAUCCACCCUGCUAUUGUAUAGUUUUAUAUCUUGAUUGAUUGUUUUUAUUUUCACUUGUUUAUUUAGAUUUCCAUGUGUAGCUCACUGGAUGGUCAUGACGCUGGGGAUAUGGACCUUUUGAAAGAUUUGAAGAUGGACUAUGAGACUUUUGCACAUUUGAAGCGAUUACAUUGG